The sequence is a small nucleolar RNA, 86 nucleotides long. It matches the Rfam family "Small nucleolar RNA snR79". The record is from Rfam.
UCAUAUGAUGACAACCUUUUUUGUUGCUUGAAGACUACGGUCAGUGUGGGCACAAUGAUUUCUCAAGACUACAACGGUAUCUGAUU